RNAcentral lists this ribosomal RNA (403 nucleotides) under uncultured bacterium. RNAcentral's name for it is "bacterial SSU rRNA". It matches the Rfam family "Bacterial small subunit ribosomal RNA", at positions 356 to 773 of the family's 1533-position model. The record is from RNAcentral.
GGGGAAUAUUGCACAAUGGGGGAAACCCUGAUGCAGCAACGCCGCGUGAAGGAUGAAGGUUUUCGGAUUGUAAACUUCUUUAGUCAGGGACGAAAAAAAUGACGGUACCUGAAGAAUAAGCACCGGCUAACUACGUGCCAGCAGCCGCGGUAAUACGUAGGGUGCGAGCGUUAAUCGGAAUUACUGGGUGUAAAGGGCGUGUAGGCGGGAAUGUAAGUCAGAUGUGAAAUCCCAGGGCUUAACCCUGGAGCUGCAUCUGAAACUAUGUUUCUUGAGUGCCGGAGAGGAAAGCGGAAUUCCUAGUGUAGCGGUGAAAUGCGUAGAUAUUAGGAGGAACACCAGUGGCGAAGGCGGCUUUCUGGACGGUAACUGACGCUGAGGCGCGAAAGCGUGGGGAGCAAAC